RNAcentral lists this ribosomal RNA (253 nucleotides) under uncultured bacterium. Its description in RNAcentral is "partial 16S ribosomal RNA". It matches the Rfam family "Bacterial small subunit ribosomal RNA", at positions 524 to 776 of the family's 1533-position model. The record is from RNAcentral.
UACGAGGGGUGCAAGCGUUAAUCGGAAUUACUGGGCGUAAAGCGUGCGUAGGUGGUUUGUUAAGCAAGAUGUGAAAGCCCCGGGCUCAACCUGGGAACUGCAUUUUGAACUGGCAAACUAGAGUAUUGUAGAGGGUAGUGGAAUUUCCAGUGUAGCGGUGAAAUGCGUAGAGAUUGGAAGGAACAUCAGUGGCGAAGGCGGCUACCUGGACAAAUACUGACACUGAGGCACGAAAGCGUGGGGAGCAAACAGG